GAUGAAGAACCAGCGAAAUGCGAUAAGUAAUGUGAAUUGCAGAAUUCAGUGAAUCAUCGAAUCUUUGAACGCACCUUGCGCUCCUUGGUAUUCCGAGGAGCAUGCCUGUUUGAGUGUCAUUAAUAUAUCAACCUUCUCUUUUUUGAGUUGUUUGGAUGUGGGGGUUUGCUGGCCUCUUAAAUGAUUCAGCUCCCCUGAAAUGCAUUAGCAGAACAACCUGUUCAUUAGCGUGAUAAUUAUCUAUGCUAUUGAAUGUGAGGGCAGUUCAGCUUUCUAACCGUCCUUGGACAAUUCAUCAUUAAUGUGACCUCAAAUCAGGUAGGACUACCCGCUGAACUUAAGCAUAUCAAUAAGCGGAGGA
This 361-nucleotide unclassified non-coding RNA is filed under the name soil metagenome. RNAcentral describes it as "partial contains 5.8S ribosomal RNA, internal transcribed spacer 2, and large subunit ribosomal RNA". The stretch from base 1 to 119 matches the Rfam family "5.8S ribosomal RNA", at positions 35 to 154 of the family's 154-position model. The record is from RNAcentral.